CCAUUUCGAAAAUCUCCAAUUUUCACAUAUUCCAUAGUCCACAUAUAUGAUAUCACGUAUUCUCAAAUUCACAAAUUGCCCAAUUUUCAUAUAUACUAACAGCAAGCUUACAACUCACAAGCCAUAGACAGGCUCAUAGUAAAUUCUCACAAAACAUAAACUCCUAAAUUUAUAAUUCAUAAAUUCAUAAUCAUAAAUCAUAACUGAUUAAUUUAACUGAUAACUCAUAAUUUCAUAAUAAUAAAUCGGUAAACAAACUAGGACAACAAAAACCCAAAAAAUAAAAAAAAUGGAAGAAAGGUUGCAGCUCACUGCUCACUUCACACCAUCACAAGUGAAAUCAAUUAUUGGCGAUGCAGCCCCCAGGGCAUAUCUCCCAGUGGUAAAGGGGAGGACGGAUAGGGCUCAGCGCGGCAGUGUGCAGAGUUCGAUUCCCCGCAAGGUGGAAUUGGCUUUGUUGCAAGCGGGAGUUACCAUAUGGAUUAACAGCCUUGGCCUAUCCAUGUGCUCUCCACCCUGGCUCCUGGGAGGCACAUCCUGCGAUUUACCUCCUCCACGAUGGCCCAGGGCAGGGUCGAUGGGGGCCCCUAAGGUUGGGAUUCAACCUUUUUUAAUUAUUGGCGAUGCAGUGAUGGUGUAGUGCUCCAGUGGCCAGUGGCUCAGGGUGAGUGCCAGCAGCGGAGAAUAGGGUUUGGAAUUCGAAGGCAUUGUUUGAUUUUGGGUUUGAAGUGUCGAG
This 736-nucleotide long non-coding RNA is filed under the name Olea europaea (common olive). RNAcentral's name for it is "long non-coding RNA (OEUR_LNC015286)". The record is from RNAcentral. Lineage: Eukaryota; Viridiplantae; Streptophyta; Magnoliopsida; Lamiales; Oleaceae.